UGAGGAAUAUUGGUCAAUGGGCGAGAGCCUGAACCAGCCAAGUCGCGUGAAGGAAGACUGCCCGCAAGGGUUGUAAACUUCUUUUGUAUGGGAUUAAAGUCGUCUACGUGUAGACGUUUGCAGUUACCAUACGAAUAAGCAUAGGCUAACUCCGUGCCAGCAGCCGCGGUAAUACGGAGGAUGCGAGCGUUAUCCGGAUUUAUUGGGUUUAAAGGGAGCGUAGGCUGUCUAUUAAGCGUGUUGUGAAAUAUACCGGCUCAACCGGUGGCUUGCAGCGCGAACUGGUCGACUUGAGUAUGCAGGAAGUAGGCGGAAUUCAUGGUGUAGCGGUGAAAUGCUUAGAUAUCAUGACGAACUCCGAUUGCGCAGGCAGCUUACUGUAGCAUAACUGACGCUGAUGCUCGAAAGUGCGGGUAUCAAACAGG
Molecule: ribosomal RNA, 425 nt
Filed under: Verrucomicrobiota bacterium
Lineage: Bacteria; Pseudomonadati; Verrucomicrobiota
Description: Verrucomicrobia bacterium partial 16S ribosomal RNA
Rfam family: Bacterial small subunit ribosomal RNA
Source: RNAcentral